This 253-nucleotide ribosomal RNA is filed under the name uncultured bacterium. RNAcentral describes it as "partial 16S ribosomal RNA". It matches the Rfam family "Bacterial small subunit ribosomal RNA", at positions 524 to 776 of the family's 1533-position model. The record is from RNAcentral.
UACGGGGGGGGCAAGCGUUGUUCGGAAUUACUGGGCGUAAAGGGUUUGUAGGUGGCUUGCUAAAUCAGACGUGAAAUCCCUCAGCUCAACUGGGGAACUGCGUCUGAGACUGGUAAGCUCGAGUGCAGGAGAGGAACGCGGAAUUCCAGGUGUAGCGGUGAAAUGCGUAGAUAUCUGGAGGAACACCGGUGGCGAAGGCGGCGUUCUGGACUGUAACUGACACUGAUGAACGAAAGCCAGGGGAGCAAACGGG